This 448-nucleotide ribosomal RNA is filed under the name uncultured bacterium. Its description in RNAcentral is "bacterial SSU rRNA". It matches the Rfam family "Bacterial small subunit ribosomal RNA", at positions 330 to 792 of the family's 1533-position model. The record is from RNAcentral.
UCCAGACUCCUACGGGAGGCAGCAGUGGGGAAUAUUGGGCAAUGGGCGCAAGCCUGACCCAGCAACGCCGCGUGAAGGAAGAAGGCCCUCGGGUUGUAAACUUCUUUUGUCAGGGACGAAGAAAGUGACGGUACCUGACGAAUAAGCCACGGCUAACUACGUGCCAGCAGCCGCGGUAAUACGUAGGUGGCAAGCGUUAUCCGGAUUUACUGGGUGUAAAGGGCGUGUAGGCGGGACUGCAAGUCAGAUGUGAAAUUCCAGGGCUCAACCCUGGAACUGCAUUUGAAACUGUGUUUCUUGAGUACUGGAGAGGCAGACGGAAUUCCUAGUGUAGCGGUGAAAUGCGUAGAUAUUAGGAGGAACACCAGUGGCGAAGGCGGUCUGCUGGACAGCAACUGACGCUGAGGCGCGAAAGCGUGGGGAGCAAACAGGAUUAGAUACCCCCGUA